CGCCUGUUUAUCAAAAACAUGUCUGUGUGAAUUAGUUAUAAAGUCUAGCCUGCCCACUGAUUUAUUUAAAGGGCCGCGGUAAUUUGACCGUGCGAAGGUAGCAUAGUCAGUAGUCUUUUAAUUGGAGGCUUGAAUGAAUGGUUGGACGAGGGAUAAACUGUCUCCUUAGCGGCGUUUGAAUUUAACUUUUGAGUGAAAAGGCUCAAAUUGUUUAGGGGGACGAUAAGACCCUAUAAAACUUAAUAUAAUUUAGGCUUAACUUGCGAUGUGGGUGAAAAGUAGUUUUGCCUGGUUUAUAUUUCGUUGGGGAGAUGAAGAUAUAAUGAGUAACUGUCUAUAAAAUUUUAUAGCAUUGACUAGAAUUUGAUCCUUCCUUGGGGAUUAGGAGAAUAAGUUACUUUAGGGAUAACAGCGUGAUUUUCUUUGAGAGUUCUUAUCGACAAGAGUAGUUGCGACCUCGAUGUUGAAUUAAAAUUUCAGCUAGGUGUAGCCGUUUAGCUGGUGGGUCUGUUCGACCUUUAAAAUUUUACAUGAUCUGAGUUCAAACCGG
RNAcentral lists this ribosomal RNA (550 nucleotides) under Macrobrachium rosenbergii (giant freshwater prawn). RNAcentral describes it as "partial large subunit ribosomal RNA". It matches the Rfam family "Bacterial large subunit ribosomal RNA", at positions 1797 to 2619 of the family's 2925-position model. Lineage: Eukaryota; Metazoa; Arthropoda; Malacostraca; Decapoda; Palaemonidae. The record is from RNAcentral.